This 472-nucleotide ribosomal RNA is filed under the name uncultured bacterium. RNAcentral's name for it is "bacterial SSU rRNA". It matches the Rfam family "Bacterial small subunit ribosomal RNA", at positions 45 to 522 of the family's 1533-position model. The record is from RNAcentral.
UGGAUUAGGCAUGCAAGUCGAGCGAGAAGAGUUUUGAAGCUUGCUUUAGAACUCGGACAGCGGCGAAAGGGAGAGUAACGCGUAGUUAUGUGCCCUAGGGUCCGGAAUAGCCACGGGAAACUGUGGGUAAUGCCGGAUAAUAUCCCCGGAUCAAAGGUGUGAUUCCGCCCUAGGAGCAGACUGCGUCCUACUAGCUAGUUGGUGGGGUAAUGGCCCACCAAGGCAAUGAUGGGUAGCGGGUGUGAGAGCAUGACCCGUCUCACUGGGACUGAGACACUGCCCAGACACCUACGGGUGGCUGCAGUCGAGAAUCUUCGGCAAUGGGCGAAAGCCUGACCGAGCGAUGCCGCGUGCGGGAUGAAGGCCCUCGGGUUGUAAACCGCUGUCGUAGGGGAGGAAGGUUCCGUGAAGAGCGGAAUUUGACCUAUCCUAGGAGGAAGUACGGGCUAAGUUCGUGCCAGCAGCCGCGGUA